UUGCUUCUCUUGAGAGCGGCGGACGGGUGAGUAAUGCCUAGGAAUCUGCCUGGUAGUGGGGGAUAACGUCCGGAAACGGACGCUAAUACCGCAUACGUCCUACGGGAGAAAGCAGGGGACCUUCGGGCCUUGCGCUAUCAGAUGAGCCUAGGUCGGAUUAGCUAGUUGGUGGGGUAAUGGCUCACCAAGGCGACGAUCCGUAACUGGUCUGAGAGGAUGAUCAGUCACACUGGAACUGAGACACGGUCCAGACUCCUACGGGAGGCAGCAGUGGGGAAUAUUGGACAAUGGGCGAAAGCCUGAUCCAGCCAUGCCGCGUGUGUGAAGAAGGUCUUCGGAUUGUAAAGCACUUUAAGUUGGGAGGAAGGGCAGUAAAUUAAUACUUUGCUGUUUUGACGUUACCGACAGAAUAAGCACCGGCUAACUCUGUGCCAGCAGCCGCGGUAAUACAGAGGGUGCAAGCGUUAAUCGGAAUUACUGGGCGUAAAGCGCGCGUAGGUGGUUCGUUAAGUUGGAUGUGAAAUCCCCGGGCUCAACCUGGGAACUGCAUUCAAAACUGACGAGCUAGAGUAUGGUAGAGGGUGGUGGAAUUUCCUGUGUAGCGGUGAAAUGCGUAGAUAUAGGAAGGAACACCAGUGGCGAAGGCGACCACCUGGACUGAUACUGACACUGAGGUGCGAAAGCGUG
RNAcentral lists this ribosomal RNA (687 nucleotides) under uncultured bacterium. RNAcentral describes it as "bacterial SSU rRNA". It matches the Rfam family "Bacterial small subunit ribosomal RNA", at positions 80 to 763 of the family's 1533-position model. The record is from RNAcentral.